Molecule: long non-coding RNA, 5784 nt
Filed under: Malus domestica (apple)
Lineage: Eukaryota; Viridiplantae; Streptophyta; Magnoliopsida; Rosales; Rosaceae
Description: long non-coding RNA (MDOM_LNC006931)
Source: RNAcentral
UUAUUUAUAUUUUAAAUUGUAUAAUAAAAUUAUUUUCUUUUAAAAACUUUGAGUGACGAAUACUAAUAUUUCGUCGCAUAAACUCUGUUUAUUUUUUUAUUUAAUUUUAUAUUUUAAAUUGUCUAAUAAAACCAAUAUUUCGUAGCGCAAAAUCGUUAAAUUUGGGCAGGUACUGAAAAUGGGACGUGGGAAAUUUAUUUUUUUAAACUUUGCUCGACCAAUCCUUCGUCACACAAAGUUUUGGGCAACCAAUAUUUCGUCACGCAAAACCCUAAAAAUUUGGGUGGGCGCCAAAAUGGGAUGUGGGAAUUUAUAAUUUUUUUUAAGACUUUGCAUGACUAAUCUUUCGUCAUGCAAAGUGAUACGGUUUUUAAAACCAAAAUAACUCCUCCACAAUUUUCUCAAUGCCUAUGUAGUUCUCUUACCUCUCUUAUCUUUCCCUCUCCCCAAAUCCGACCAUAUCUCUCACACUCAAUCUCUCCUCUCUCUCUCUCUCUCUCUCUCUCUCUCUCUCUCUCUCUCUCUCUCACUAUCUCUUCUCACUCUCUCUCACUUACUCCUCUCUCCCUAUCUCUCACUCACUCUCAAUCUUGCCAAAAGGUAUUUUCUUCGUAAAUUUUAAUUUAUUUUUCAUUAAUAUGAUUUUUUGGACUUAAUUUUAGGUUUGGGUUCGGUUUGGGGUCAGGUAUAAGGUGAGGGGUGGAGUUUGGGGUCGAAUUUGGGGUAUGCCAAUUUUAGGGGAGGUUAUGCCCAUUUUUUUGGUAUUAUUUUAUGUUUUUUUUUUGUUAUUUGACCAUGUUUGUUUUUUCGUUGGGAAUUGUCAAGACUUUGAUGAUGAAAGUUGAGGAGUUGAGGAUUAUGAUGUUAUCAUACCAUAUCCCCCACCACCACCAACAUAAUAGACUUGUAUUAGGAUUUUAUUAUUGUAAUUUGUUAAUUUAUAUGUACAUUUUUAAUAUAAUCUAUAUUAUGGAUCAUUUGAUCACUAUUUUUCAUAUGUAAUUUUAUUUUGAAUAUGUCAAUUUAAAUUAAAGUAAUUAAACAAAUAAAGCCAUACAAUUAAAUUAAAUUCAAAAAGUAAAAAUUCAAAAAAUCUUGCGCUACCAAAUAUUUCGUUGCGCAAACAAUUACUAUAAUUAAAUAAAAUAAUAAAAAUAAUUAAUAAAAAAAAAGUCAAUUUAAUUAAAUAAAAAAAUAAAAACAAAAAACUUUGGUCAUGCAAAAUCUUGUGCUACCAAAUAUUUUGUCGCGCAGAAUAUUAAAUUAAUUUAAUUAAAUAAAAAAUAAAAAACCAAAAACUUUGUGCGACGAAAUAUUUCAUUGCGCAAAGUACCUUCACGAAAUGAAGAUUAAUUUCCAUGCGCAAACCCUAUGCACGACAAAAAAUUUGUCGCGCAAGGUGUUGAGUGAUGAAAUCUUAUUUUGCGUAACAAAUCUUAUUUUGUCUCACAAAGAGUUUUUUGUAGCAGUGUACGUACAUGACCAAAUGUUAUACCAGGCCAAGUUUCCCAAUAAAGUCUAUGCAAAGGCCGGCCAGUCACAAAUUGGUACCUCAAAAAUCAAAAUACAGUAAAUCCAAUCUUGGACGCACCCAACAAAAUGUGAGAAAUGCAAUGGCAAGGUACAAGUUUUACGAAAACAAGGAAUGAAAGUUCCAUGUUACUGUACCCUUUGAGGUUUAAUCAUUGCCCAUGUUGGUAACAAAACCAGAAAUGGGAUUUUGUAUAUGUUCAUCAAAAGCAAUGCCCCCUUUGGACCACGCCAUCUAGAACAACACCAAACCACACCAGUGGUCAUGAUCUUUUGUGGUACUUUCGUUGGUGGAAUUCAAUUGGCAUGAAAGCUCUUGAUGCAAGGUAGAUGUGCUAUAUUUAUGUUGGAAAGUCGCUAGAUUCAACUCUCAACAAUGACUAUGUUGUAGUUGGCUUAGAUAGUAAUGAGUAAUAAGGGUGCAUAUCAAACCGACUGAUUCCACCCGAAAUGAGUAUUUUAGUUUGGUUUUAAUCUUCAAAAAGACAAACAAUUUGCGUUAUAACGUUAUGAAUUUAGAAACUAAAAAAAAUGAUUUGAUUUUGUUCGCUUUCAUCUAGUUUAGUUAAAAUCGUAAUUGGUUAAUUUAGAUGAAAUUUGACUAUAAAACUUAUUCAAGCCAAACCGAGCUCACCCUCAGGGUUAAAAGUAAAAGAAAACCUAAGAAGCAAAUUUGCAUUGGAAUUUUGGAUAAAGUUUGGUUGUCUGACAAUUGAAUUGACUCUAUACCUCGAAUUUGCAUUCAACAAGCAAAGCAUUCAAGUGAAGAAAAGAAAAGGUGAGAAAGGAAAUCCAAAAUCGUAAUCAAACGACAUCAGGGAGAUGACGGACACUUGCUGCCUGCACACAAAAAGCUGAAAGGCAACUAGAGCAAUAAAGAGGCGUAAUCCUAUGCCUAUAGACUGUUGCAUGAUAGGCCAAGGACCACAGUUUUGGGCCUUCCCUCUUCUGACUGACAGGUCCAGUGGUCCUGGUGGACAAGUGAUCAGAGCUAAAAUUUUGGCUUCAGUUAUAUACCUCGAUUAACGUGUUUAUUUAAAAAAAAAAUUAGAUUUUAAUUCAUAAAUAAGAUGAAAUUUAAAAAAAAUAUCUUAUACAAAAUUAAGAAUUGAUUGUAGUCACUGAACUCUAUUUAACACUAGCAUAUUAAAUGUCUCUCUUUUUCAUUUAUAAUUUUAUGGUGUUCAUAAAUUAAAUUUUAAGAAAAUAUUAUAAAUUUUAAUUCUCAUAAUGGUAAUUAUCUUAUAUAAAAAAAUAUUUUCGUAAAGAUUUUUUGGUACACAUGUUUUUGCAUAUUUUCUUAUGUGCCACUAAUUCAUUACAAUAUAUUUAGAUACGAACAUUUUGGUACAAGGUUAGUAUGAUAUGUUUAGGUAUGGACAUUUUGGUACACUAGUUUAUUAUAAUAUAUGUAGGUACAAACAUUUGGGUACAUUAGUUUAGUAUCAUAUAUUUAGAUACGGAAUUUUUCGGUACACUUAUGUUUUUACAUAUUUUCUUAUGUGCCACUAAUUCACUAUAAUAUAUUUAAUUACGGACAUUUUGGUAUACUAAUUUAGUAAAAUAUGUUAUGAUAACAACGUUUAGGUACACUAAUUAGAGGAAGUAAAAUAAAUAUAAUGAAUUAAAAUAUGUAUAAUAAUAAAUAAUUUUAAUUUUAAUGUAAUGACAUUAAAUAAGAUAUCCAUUAAAUAUUAAAACAAAAAUAUAGUAUCAGUAUGAGUUAAGUACACAUUAGAGGACUAAAAUCAAUAUUCAAUCUAACAUCAGGUUUUUAUUGAAUUUUAAUCUUCUUCAAGGAUUAAAGUUCAAAAAACCCCUAUUUUUUUAUUAGUAACAUAUUGUUUUGUUUGCAUAUUUAAUUUAAAAUUUUGAUAUUCCUAAUAUUAUCUUUGUAAAAAGUCUCCGGAUUGCAAUGUUGGGACAAACAUACUUCUCUAGUGAUUAAUUGAACAGACUGAUUAAAUUGGCUUAAAAAAAAAAAUGUAACUUUCCUUCGCCUAGGAUUCCAGUCCUAACCCUAUAUAUUAUCCUUUGGGGGUUGAUCGGUUGGAUAUCAAUGUUGGGAUAGGAUCCUCUCCGAAUCAUUUCCAUUCAUAUUCGGAAGAUCUUUCAAUCUUAGCUGUUCAAAAGAAAAUUGAUCGGUUAGGAAAACGUUUUGGCAUCAUCGGAAUAGGAAGUAGCUGCAAUGGCAACAAUGGCCAUCAUAUCCUUUACAUCGAAUCCUUGGCAAUGGAGUUGCGAUGGCUUCGCAACUGUGCUCGAGGCAAGGCGUGCAGCAGCCAAAAUUCAGGAUUCAGAGAGGAUCCUUUCUCAUCAAAGUUGUGCUGUAAUCGUCAAGAAAAAUUAUUAGUCUCGUGUUGUAUGUAUCUCUUUCUAUAUUAUAUGAGAAAGAUGUGUAUGGUUAGGGGUGUGCAACAGUUAUGACGGACGGGUAACUGCGGUUAUUUACCCAUAGCCGUUUAAGCUUUUACCCACAUAACCUUUUACCCGUUGGAUAUUUACAUAAACGGGUAUACUCAUACCCAUAAUCGUUUAUAAACGAUUAACCAUACCCAUAACCGUAUACCCAUUUACCCAUAACUGCUUACCUGUUUACUUUUUUUUUUACCCGUAACAACUUGAAAAUUAAAAAGAAAUUUGUCAUAAUUUUCUUUUAUCUAACUAUUAAAUACUGUUAUAAGUACAUUUAACACGUAUUUUUAUAUUAACGGCAAUAUUAUUUAUGAAUAUAUUAUAUGUGAUGUCUCCCAAUUAUUUGACGAUCAAUCUAUUACAAGAAACAAUCAUGCAUGGUUGUAGGUUAAUUAAUAUUCUUGUAUAUAUAUAAGUACGCAUCAACUUGCUAAUAAGUUAAUUUGAUAAAUAUUUAGAUUUUUAUUUAUAAACAUAUGUUCAUCGAUCCAAGCCAUUUAAUCGAUUUCUAAUUUUGGGGUCAAAUAUUUAUUGAAAACUCGAGGCGAAUUAAAUUUAUAUAUAUAUAUAUAUAUAUAUAGGUACGCAUCAUUUGAUAAUAACAUGUUUCUAAAUGCUUAGGUAAUCAUUAUCUUGAAUUGGUCAAAACUCCAAAAGACUCCAAAACAAAAUUGUCGAACACUCUAAUGCUUUAGCACAUUCAAUCAUAUAUAUUAAACAUUAGCUCGUUCUAUCAACAAUAUUUUUUUCUCAAGUGAGGCAUAAAAAAAAAAAUAUAUAUAUAUAUAUAUAUAUAUAUAUAUUAUGGCCCUUUAUAACCAAAUAUAUAUCGGGAUACUAAACCUAGUUAGAAACUAAGUAUUAUUUUUUUUUAGUUUUACAUAUAUCAAAAUAAACAGUUAAAUGGGUACCCGUUUAUAACCGCGGGUAAUACCCAUAACCGCCCAUUUAAAUUUCACGGGUAAGUGGUUAUACCCAUAACCGUUUAUUUAUCUAACUGGUUACUAAUAACCGUAACAGUCAAAUUUAAAUAGGUGGAUAACUACGGUUACCCAUAACCAAUGAGUAUUUACUCAUCCUACGUAUGGUAAACCAUGUGAGAUAUUUAGAAAGCUAUAAUUAUUUGUUGUAAUGUAUAGAUGUAGGACGCAUGAAGGCAAGAAAAGGGCAAUUUCAUCACGUGCAUAUCUUGUCAUUUCUCUCUUUCAAGGGUCAAGAUCUUCAGCUAUCGUGUAAAACGUUUGAAAAAUUGACCAACAAUAUCAUUGUUUGCUAAUUCUUAAAAUUUAAGAGUCCCUUUACCAAACCACAAAUGGUUAUGAUGUUUAUUGGAGGUGUUUUCUAAUUUAUGGGUUGAGUACACAAGAUAAUACAAUGUCAUUUUAAUUUUAGUAAAAUAUGCAUCACGCUCAUUAUUUAUAAUUGAUAUCUGUUACUAAGUUAACUUUCAAAAUGUCAAAAGUCUUAUAAAAUUCAAAUAUAAACCUACAAUUACUACCCAAAAGCAAAAAAAUGGUUUGAUUUGCGAAAAAAAACUCAUCUCUAAUUGAUAGUUGAGUUAUAAUUCUAUAGAGGCCACCAUACCAUUAUUUUGCCAAAGAGUGGCAUCAUGCUAUCCAAAUAUAGCCUCUUUUAGCCUUUUUUUGGUCAUUUUCUCAGUUGCAAUAAUUGAUUUAAAUUCAAUUAUUAUAAUAUAUGUAGGUACAAACAUUUGGGUACAUUAGUUUAGUAUCAUAUAUUUAGAUACGGAAUUUUUCGGUACACUUAUGUUUUUACAUAUUUUCUUAUGUGCCACUAAUUCACUAUAAUAUAUUUAAGUACGGACAUUUUGGUAUACUA